GAAAGGAGAAGAGAAUACAGCUGUGUACGCCGCUCGCUCUCUCUCUUUUUCUUUCCCCAUCAAGAAAGUUCUCCACUUCCACCGCCCACCUUCUCUCUUCAUACCUUCUUCUUCUUCUUCAUCUCUCUUUUUAUUAUUUAUUUAUUAUCUGCUAUAUUAUUAUUAGCAUCUUCUGAAUUAUGUAUUACCCAAUUGUUCUCCUUAACAUUCACGAACUUUUCCUGUAAAGUUUUUUCCUUUUUUAGAUAGCUUAAGAACCUGCGGUGUAUAUGUGCACAGCGUCAUUUGGUGAUGAAAAUGAAAUGUUGUAACAAACAGUUAUAAGUUGAGGCUAUUUAUUAGGAGUGUAUAAUGUCGACAGUGGCAGUGUCUGCAUCGACGUUUCACCUUGCAGCUAAAUUUAGAUAUGAUGCUAUUUAAUUCCUUUACUCAUUAAAACUUCAUCCUUCCUAUAUUUCUUCACCUCAACUUUAGUGUCUC
RNAcentral lists this long non-coding RNA (480 nucleotides) under Brassica rapa (field mustard). RNAcentral describes it as "long non-coding RNA (BRAP_LNC005799)". Lineage: Eukaryota; Viridiplantae; Streptophyta; Magnoliopsida; Brassicales; Brassicaceae. The record is from RNAcentral.